Molecule: ribosomal RNA, 253 nt
Filed under: uncultured bacterium
Lineage: Bacteria
Description: partial 16S ribosomal RNA
Rfam family: Bacterial small subunit ribosomal RNA
Source: RNAcentral
UACGAAGGGGGCUAGCGUUGCUCGGAAUCACUGGGCGUAAAGCGCACGUAGGCGGAUUGCUAAGUCAGGGGUGAAAUCCUGGAGCUCAACUCCAGAACUGCCUUUGAUACUGGCGACCUUGAGUCCGGGAGAGGUGAGUGGAACUGCGAGUGUAGAGGUGAAAUUCGUAGAUAUUCGCAAGAACACCAGUGGCGAAGGCGGGUCUCUGGACAGUUCCUGACGCUGAGGCACGAAGGCCAGGGGAGCAAACGGG